Molecule: small RNA, 277 nt
Filed under: Pongo abelii (Sumatran orangutan)
Lineage: Eukaryota; Metazoa; Chordata; Mammalia; Primates; Hominidae
Description: Metazoan signal recognition particle RNA (ENSPPYG00000039114.1)
Source: Rfam by way of RNAcentral
GCCAGGCAUGGUGGUGCAUGCCUGUAAUCCAAGCUACUAAGAGGCUGAGGCAGGAGAAUCGCUUGAACCUGGGAGGCGGAGGUUGUGGUGAGCCAAGAUCGUGCGAUUGCACUCCAGCCUAAGCAACGAGAAUGAAACUCUGUCUCAAAAAAAAAAAAAAUUUUUUUUUUUUCCUGAAAUGGAGUCUCACUCUGCCCAGGCUGGAGUGCAGUGACAUGAUCUUGGCUUGCUCACUGCAACCUCCACCUCCAGGGUUCAAGCUGUUCUCCUGCCUCAG